This 253-nucleotide ribosomal RNA is filed under the name uncultured bacterium. RNAcentral's name for it is "partial 16S ribosomal RNA". It matches the Rfam family "Bacterial small subunit ribosomal RNA", at positions 524 to 776 of the family's 1533-position model. The record is from RNAcentral.
UACGUAGGGUGCGAGCGUUGUCCGGAAUUACUGGGCGUAAAGGGCGCGUAGGUGGCCUUCUUAGUCAGACGUGAAAUCCCCGGGCUUAACUCGGGAACUGCGUCUGAUACUGGAAGGCUCGAGUUCGGGAGAGGAAUGUGGAAUUCCAGGUGUAGCGGUGAAAUGCGUAGAUAUCUGGAGGAACACCGAUGGCGAAGGCAGAUCUCUGGGCCGUAACUGACGCUGAGGAGCGAAAGCGUGGGGAGCGAACAGG